GGAAGGGUACCACUAGUCUAAAAGCAAUUUCUAAGCUAGAAUGCUAGCUUAAGUACAAAAGGUUGUAAGUUUAGGGGGGGGUGUAACUAAAGGAAGUGUACCGCUAAACUACAAGGAAUCUUCCACCUUAAGGAAGUACAACCGAUGAAAAUGUACUAAACAGGAGUGGGAGUAUAACUAAUGGAAUCAUACCAUUGCAGUCAAGGAUUGAAAUAUCGGCCGAUACACCGAUAUAUCGAUAUUUUCAACUGUCGAUACCGAUACUGGGGGGGUAAGGCCAUAUCUUCCCCUAUAUCGACGAUAUAUCCCCGAUAAGUGCGAUAUCUCCGAUAUUUUGCCGAUAUUCUUGAUAUUUCUCAAUACCUAUAAUAAAACCCAAAAAAAUUCAAAAGUUUUGAAGCAAAUUGAAACCCAAAAGAUUUUUUGGAGGUAUGUGGGCAGUGAUUAGAUAUGUGUGAAGACUUUUGGCAAUAUCCAAUUCAAAAGAUUUUUUGGUGUAUCCAUUAAUUAUUACUAUAAAGAAUCUAUGCACAAUGAAUUGAGGGGACAUACGUGUCUUAUCUGAAGAUAAAGAAAUACACAAAUCCAAAUAUUAAAUUUCUGGUCAAAUAUAUCUUUAUUACCCGCAAGAAAAUGAUGCACGUGUUUGAGCUUCUUGUGGAACUCUUUAUCAUUUAAUAUUUGUUUUGUUUUUUAGUUGUUUCUUUUUCACUUUUUGAAGUCAGGCA
RNAcentral lists this long non-coding RNA (728 nucleotides) under Malus domestica (apple). Its description in RNAcentral is "long non-coding RNA (MDOM_LNC011510)". Lineage: Eukaryota; Viridiplantae; Streptophyta; Magnoliopsida; Rosales; Rosaceae. The record is from RNAcentral.